AUAAAGUGUCAAAUUUAACAUCAUCCAAAUAAGAAACAACUAAGUUACUAUACAUAUUCCAAUUCACCUGCUUAUAAUUAGGGGAGAUGAUAACUACUGCCCAGAGGACUGUCAAUAACUGACCAGUCACAUAAAAGAGCCAAAGAUGGAGUUACCAAAGUCAAGUCAAGAGCAUUAGGACGCCAAGAUGGAGAUCCUAUUGUGGUAGCUUGACCAUUAUUCAGAAUAACAAGACCAUUCUCAUCUAUAACCUCUAAAACAUCUUUACCUCGAGGCAAUGUAUCAACACAUCCCCACAACAUGUGAUGAGCAUUGAAAUCACCUGCAAAUAUCAUUGGCUCUGGAAUGGACUUAAUUAAACUGUUUAAAUUGUUUUUAUUAAAUGGAGGAUUUGAAUUGGAAGGACUGUAAAAACUCACAAUACUCAGUUCUUUGUUAUUAAUUUUAAUUUUAAUGCAAACAUUUUGUAGAGCACUAUCAUAAUAUGUAUUUAUGUUAGAAAAUGUGAUAUUAUUAUGAAUAAAAAUUGCUACACCA
This is a long non-coding RNA of Leptidea sinapis, 537 nucleotides long. RefSeq lists it as uncharacterized. Lineage: Eukaryota; Metazoa; Arthropoda; Insecta; Lepidoptera; Pieridae. The transcript has 2 exons. The record is from RefSeq and is a predicted model, not a curated record.